UUAGUUAUACUUUAAAUUAAAUGAAACGUUGUUAAAUUCAUUUGUGAGCCAAUCAAAAUUAGAUCAUUCAUGAAACGAAUUUUUGGCGUAUUCA
Molecule: long non-coding RNA, 94 nt
Organism: Limulus polyphemus (Atlantic horseshoe crab)
Lineage: Eukaryota; Metazoa; Arthropoda; Merostomata; Xiphosura; Limulidae
Exons: 3
Source: RefSeq, a predicted model, not a curated record